Molecule: ribosomal RNA, 274 nt
Filed under: uncultured bacterium
Lineage: Bacteria
Description: partial 16S ribosomal RNA
Rfam family: Bacterial small subunit ribosomal RNA
Source: RNAcentral
CUACGGAGGGUGCAAGCGUUGUCCGGAUUUAUUGGGUUUAAAGGGUGCGUAGGCGGAUAAAUAAGUCAGUGGUGAAAUACUUCAGCUCAACUGGAGAGGUGCCAUAGAAACUGUAUAUCUUGAGUGAAGUCGAAGUAGGCGGAAUUGAUGGUGUAGCGGUGAAAUGCAUAGAUAUCAUCAAGAACACCGAUAGCGAAGGCAGCUUACUUGGUUUCAACUGACGCUGAUGCACGAAAGCGUGGGGAGCGAACAGGAUUAGAAACCCCGGUAGUCC